Molecule: long non-coding RNA, 1535 nt
Filed under: Equus caballus (horse)
Lineage: Eukaryota; Metazoa; Chordata; Mammalia; Perissodactyla; Equidae
Description: lncRNA (ENSECAG00000048148.1)
Source: RNAcentral
AGGGAACUGAGGCUCAGUGUGACUAGGGAAUUUGUCAAAGGCAGUGGAGCCAGUAACAGUCGAGACCUGGUCUAGCCAGAAUUCAAGUGAAAACUCAUGGUUAACUGCAAGCCCAGUGUCAACCAAUUAUGUGAUGCUGAUUCUUAUUAUCUUCUGCAAUCUUAGCCUAUACUAGAAGUGUGAUAUUUUGAGCACAGGUGGUAAUAUCACCGCCAUGCUCAGGGCUCAAACAAGGAUACUAUGGGUCACACGUGGAAGCCAUUUUUAGAAGACGCAUCAGUAAACAAUAAAAGCAGGAAAGCAGACAUGAUAGUAAUAAGUUUGGAAACUUUGCCCUAGAAGCAGCAGUUGAUGAAAUGGGGGAUUGUUUGGUAACUAGAAGAAAAAAGAAAGAGAUAAUUACAGGGUUUCCAUCUAAAAGUAGACUUCUACUGUUACUUUGGGGAUAAAGCACCAUAAGAUGAUGAUUGGGAUGGCAGAUCACAUCAACUUCUUUCUAAGAAGGAAGGCUAUCUUCUCAGUCAUCGAGCUUACAGUAAAAGGCAUUGCUACUAAUUACAGCCUGGCUUAAACUGUGAACUAUGAAAUGGACCCACGUAGGACUUCCUGUAUGUGCUUGUGUGUGUGCUUGCUUGUGUGUGAAUGGUUAGCAGAAGAUCCCGAAAACUCAAGACACCAGCCACCAACGUAGAACUUAAUUACACCCAAAGAAAGUUUCUUGCGAAGUAUAAUGGGGAAGUAGUAUAGGAGGCCUGCAAAUACCUUGUGAAAAUCAGUGUGACCACCAUCUUAAGGAUCGUGUGAGCAAGACAGCAUACGUAAAAGAAAAAAGGAAAUGAAAUAGCACAUCCCUUGAGGGAAAAAAAACACAAACAAACUGCACAACCAAUCCACGAAACUUCCAUUCAGGAGAUUGCUUGUACUUGUGUUAAUGCUUCCUCCAUAUUCCUAGGGUGAGCAUCAUCAGAAUGUAAAUAAUCUAUCAUUAGAGGUCUUACACAGAAGCUGAAGUACCUACCACAGCAGGAAAAAGUUCCUGCAAAGGGCUAAAGAUGAGUUCACAUGACUUUAAAGAAGGCUUCAAAACUCAGUAACCAAUAAUUCAAUGAUUUGGGAAUUUUCAAUUAUAUUCCUCUUCUGAAAAAGGUUUGUUUUAUAGCCACAGCUAUUCCAGGUUAUACCAGGCUGCCUCAAUGUGCUUAGGGUCAGGGCAGAGAUUUGGUAAAAAUGGACACAAAAAGAGACACUGGGUUAUUUUUUCAUCUGGAUCGGUUUGUUCCUCAGCUUGCACUUUCUCUCUCAAUAGUUAUAGUGCACUGGAUGUUUGCACAACCCCAGGACUCCAGGGAAGGUGAAGGAAGGAAGAACAGAAGUUAUUUCAGACCUCCCACCCUCCAGCCCAGAACUUCCACCAUUUUGGACUAAACUGUGUUCACCUGAAAUUCAUGUGUUGAAACCCUAAUCCCCAAUGUGAUUGUAUUUGGAUAUAUGGCCUAUAAAAAGGUAAUAAAGAUUGAGUGAGAUCAUAAGGGUGA